CACCUGGGCUAUCCUGUUGAGGACCUCGAUCUCGGCCGCCUCACCGCCGGUGCCGAAACCGGCAUUGAGCACGGAAGCCACCCAGGAAUCGAUGCCGUCGCUCGCGCCGUUCUUGCUCACAAAGAACGCCACCGGCUUCCCAGCCUGCUCCGGCAAUAGAACCACAAAUCAUGCACACCAUUGUCGGUUUUGACGGAAGCAGAACACAAGUCGGGCUUUGUCCAGGCAGCGCCAUGCAUUCCAUUUUGCAGAACCAAGCUUCAUAUGCACUCAUACAGCAGUACAUCUGGGGGCCACGCCGCGAAGCUGAAGUGGCCUGUCAGCAGGAGGCUCAGUAUUAAAGAUACAGUACAUGCGGUUGGCACCGCACCUGGGAGGCGCAGAGCUCUUUGGCCAUGAGGGCGGCCAGCUGCGGGUUGUCGGCCAGGCUUCGGCAGGUGCAACGGCCCAUCAGCCCAAACAGCCGCGACUGGAACGCGUCGAGCACCUGCCCCAGCACAUUCUCCACCACGCC
RNAcentral lists this long non-coding RNA (514 nucleotides) under Coccomyxa subellipsoidea. RNAcentral's name for it is "long non-coding RNA (CSUB_LNC000779)". Lineage: Eukaryota; Viridiplantae; Chlorophyta; Trebouxiophyceae; Coccomyxaceae. The record is from RNAcentral.